Molecule: ribosomal RNA, 259 nt
Filed under: uncultured bacterium
Lineage: Bacteria
Description: partial 16S ribosomal RNA
Rfam family: Bacterial small subunit ribosomal RNA
Source: RNAcentral
AGGGAAGGCAAAACAAGCGAUGUGGAGCAAACCCCUAAAAAUAGGUCUCAGUUCAGAUUGCAGGCUGCAACCCGCCUGCAUGAAGUCGGAAUUGCUAGUAAUCGCGGAUCAGCAUGCCGCGGUGAAUACGUUCCCGGGCCUUGUACACACCGCCCGUCACACCAUGGGAGCCGGUAAUACCCGAAGUCAGUAGUCCAACCUCGUGAGGACGCUGCCGAAGGUAGGAUUGGCGACUGGGGUGAAGUCGUAACAAGGUACC